This 809-nucleotide long non-coding RNA is filed under the name Calidris pugnax (ruff). RNAcentral's name for it is "lncRNA (ENSCPUG00000016910.1)". Lineage: Eukaryota; Metazoa; Chordata; Aves; Charadriiformes; Scolopacidae. The record is from RNAcentral.
CGCCGCGCUCGGCAAGGCCGGACGGGCCCGGUGUGGCCCUUCCGGCCUUGCCGAGCGCGGCGGGCCGUAGCGGGGCCGCCCCCGGGGGAACCGUGAGGGGUUUUGUGCCGCUUUCACGGCCCUUAGUGCUGUUUCUAUGGUUUAACAGGCCCGCCUGUGGAAACGACCCUUUCCUAAUACCAUAAAAACCCCCAUUUUAUCCAUGUGGCGGUUCAAAGGUGUGGCAAAGACUGUGUAAUAAACGGGGGGGGUGGGGUGGUAAAGCCCUCAUUCCUUAGCACAGUUCAGAGUGGGGGGGGACAGCAUCUGAUUAGCCAGUUAAAUAAAUGCACAAUAAUAUGCACAAUAAAUAAGGCAGAGCUGUGAUAUUCCUAGCUCCUGUGUAACUUUUUUUCUUCUGCAGACAGUGUCCUCUGGCAUUUUUUGUGCAUAAGUAGGUAAAUAGACUGUAAAAAUCAGUAAUAGAUGCUGUGAAGAUUUGGGGAGAAGAGCGGUUUCACAAUUAAAACACUGGCAGAGCAUCCGCUGUGUCAGAGAAGUGGAAUGGACCCCGUGAGGAGCAGAAAUACCCGGUCUGUGGAAAUGUCCUGCAAAACCUUCUGAAAAAUCGAGGCUUUUCUAAAUAAUACUGUGGCAUGAAUGGCUCUGCACCCUCCCGGGUCAGAUCUUUGACUGAGAUUCCCACAGCCACCAUCAAAGACUUCUUACAGGACUUCACACGGCUGUCCUUUGGAACGCUGGAUGGGGAGCAGGUCCUUUCUCUGAGCCUGAGCCUGAGCCCAGGGCUGGCUUCUCAGACGGAGGUGUGA